Long non-coding RNA from Brienomyrus brachyistius, 639 nucleotides. RefSeq lists it as uncharacterized. The transcript has 3 exons. Lineage: Eukaryota; Metazoa; Chordata; Actinopteri; Osteoglossiformes; Mormyridae. The record is from RefSeq and is a predicted model, not a curated record.
GACCGGAUCUGGCCCGUGGCUUUGCCCGUGCCGUCUGUUACAGUGCGCCACACAGGGCAGAGCGGGACCCUCGAGCCCAGUUACCCGUCAUCCCAUCGCAGAGUCCGUCCCCAUCAUUUAAUGGGUUAUUUCGGAGCUAGAGAGAAAUCAUCAGGCCGUACACGCGCAGGGACUGGGCAGCGUUCGCUCCAUUACGCCAGCGCUUCCGUCUGAAAAUAUUCCAGAGCGGAUCAUUCCAGAAACAGAUCUUGUGACCCCCCACCAGCCGGGAACUGAGGCCCUGUCAUUCCUCCACGGCAAUGGUUGUCGUCAGAUAGCCAGAGGUGGAACGUAAAAUGGAGGCACCGAGAAUCUCUCCUACUGACCCAAACCAGACAGGUCACCUUCCGGAAGGAGUCUGCUCUUCUUUAUAGCGCUCUCCCCGCAGUGUACCCCGCUCCACAAUCAAGCUCCUUCACCAACCUGUGGUAGUGAAACUCACAUCUACAUGAGAUGUUCCGAGUGGCCUGCAGGGGGCGUUAAGAUGCUGACACAGCCGCUGAAUUCCUGCGCUGGCUGAAAGCCCGUGUGACCACGCUAAGACACCAGUAUCUCCAUCUUCCCAGCAGCCCCCGCGGAAGGUGGGAAUAGGAUAGACGC